Ostrinia nubilalis (European corn borer) is the source of this 4305-nucleotide long non-coding RNA. RefSeq lists it as uncharacterized. The transcript is spliced from 2 exons. The record is from RefSeq and is a predicted model, not a curated record. Lineage: Eukaryota; Metazoa; Arthropoda; Insecta; Lepidoptera; Crambidae.
AGUUGCAUCUAAGUUUCUGCCAUAGCGUCCGUUGAGAGACCACACAUGACGCGACCAGUUUGAAACUUUCAGUUUCAGUUUCAUUCAUCAGAAUCAUCACAAAGUUGCAGUUUCGUUGAAUUGCAUCUAAGUUUCUGCCAUAGCGUCCGUUGAGAGACCACACAUGACGCGGCCAGUUUGAAACUUUCAGUUUCAUUCAUUAGAAUCAUCAGAAAGUUGCAGUUUCGUUGCAGUUGCGUUUCACCGUAUGUUCUGGGCCUUAUUCUUAGGUGAUAUGAUAUGUAUGUGAUUGAUCGUUCAUGACGCUAUUAUUGACUAUUAAUGACGUAAUCACGAUUUUUAAACAGUUUAUGUACCAGUCUGAAACUGACACCUUGUUGACUGGGCUAUUCAAAUUUAAAUUCUUUAUUUAGGGUAGCAAAAUUGUUAUUGUAUUUGCCUUCAAUCAGAAAGAACAAUCAAAAAGUUGACCAUUUUUUGUUGAAGCAUGGUUCUUGACCAUUUGUGGCAUGAUUUUUUGCAUUUUACAAAUUUCGACAGCAUAGCAAGCUAAUACAGAACUUUAUGCCGUAGUAAUAAAUGCUAUUAUGCCAUAAAUUGAGGUUAUGAGGUCGCGUCGAAAACGUCACAAAGUGUCCAAAGCGUUAUUUAAACGGUCAUAGCAAGCCCAUUCCAUUUUGAACUCUAAUAUAACAGAAUAAGGUUGGAAAUGCCUUAUUUAGGGUAAAUCACCCAAACAUCUUACGUCGCACUCGUGGUCCGCUCGCGAACUAUUUGGUGCUGUGGAUUACCUUUGCGGUAUAUUAGAUAUUGUGUGACAAAUAUUAUUUAAAAUACAGCACGUCAAGCUAAAUUGCACCUUAUUUCAUAGUAAUGAAAGUGUUUUGCAACUAAAUGCGCAGCUUGGUGUGCUGUCAAAACUAUAUUUCAAAUACUACGCGAUGUAUGGAAUUUGUAUGACUGCGUCAUAAAUGUAUGAUGUUCAGUCGGCGUCAAAUAGUUCGUGACACCCAAAGUGGUCAAAAAGUGACAACACAACCUUAUUCCAAUGAGGGCUAUCGUUUUUAUACUUAACAGUUGGCACCCCUGGCGAUUGACAGGACCUUACUCUACAGUGGCGCCAUCUUGAUGAGUGCAAAUGCGAUAGUCCUCCUACCACUUUAGCGCUCACCAGUUGGUGCCACUGUCUCUUCGCUACUAGCAAGUGACAGGACCUUACUCUACAGUGGCGCUAACUGGUGAGCGCUAAAACGAUAGCCCUCAUUGUAACAAAGACGUGUUGCGAACUUCUUGGCUACUUUGGAUGUCACGAACUACGCUACGCUGAGUGUUCAACGCGUAGUAUAGUCCGGUCGCCGAGCACGUAGAAUUUCGUCCAAUCCAAUGACCCCAAGCUACCCAUCCCUAUCGCUCGCGCGUAAUUAUGUUGCUGUCGCGCUCUUUCACUCACCGCCAGUCGCACAGUCGCGACAGCAAUAUAAUUACGCGCGAGCGAUAAGGAUGGGUAGCUUGGGGUCAUUGGACGAAAUUCUACGUGCUCGGCGACCGGACUAUAGUGUGAAUAUACCCACUGGAGUGUAAGGAUGCAGUGCUGGACAAGAUAUUGUACACAAAUCGGCGUUUUGCUACUUCAAAAUGUUUUCAAUUGACUUUGAAUCUUGUGCAAAAGACAUACGAUUCAAUAUCCAUUGAAGAAAGAAGUUUUGAAAGUAAAUAACGAUUUCCUCAAUCAAUUUUUGACCUUAUAGUAAAGGAAUAAAGUUCAAAAUUGAAUGCAUUGGAUUUUAGAGAGAUCUAAAAAAAAUUAAAAAAGGCCAUAGGUACAAUAUCUUGUCAGGACUGUAAUAUAUUGUUAUUUUUUAAAUAUAGUAUUUUAAUUAAUUGUAUUGUAUUUGAUUUUAAUCAUUAUUGUUUUUGUUGAGGAUUCCUUGCAUUUUUGCUGACGAAAUAAUUAUUUUAACUUAGUUUUCUACUCAAACCACGUAUAAUAAUUUAAAAUAACAAGGUUAGUAAUGCCCGUUUUCACCAUCAAUACCUAAUUUUUAAGUGACCCCUAUGUAAACAAAAUUCCUGUUAUUUGUUACCAUAGGGGUCACUUAAAAAUUAGGGAUUGAUGGCGAAAACAGGCAUUAAUCUAAGCAAGCUAAACUCGGUCAGCGCCUGAGCUAUGGGAGCGGCACGUGGUGUUUUUGACACGUCAAACGUCAGCAAGACUUCAGACAGAGUAAAUACAAAUGAGUAGGUCAUCUUCAUAGAAACGCACGGGCGUGGUUUGUAUGUGAGCGCGCCAAUACGUAUGCGGCGCGCACGCACACACUGACAAAAUUCUAAAAUAAAAACCGACUGGCUCCCCGCUAAUCCACACUAAAUAGCAAUGCCAGAUAUUGUAUGGAAAGUGGCGUCUUUUUUUUUUUCGCGCGGCCAUCGACCAAACUUUGUUUUUUGAUUACAAAAUAGUGUAAUAAACCAAACUUACUAUGACAUUUAUACCUGUAAACUCAGUCUGAACUGAGUUACGAGCAUUAGAAGUUUGAUGAUUUUCAUACUAGAUUUGCUUUUUGUGCGCAAGUUUUGCAAGAAAUUGCAACAAAAGAUUGCGCUAUUUUUAUAUUGCGCUGAUUCUGCUCCAUACUGAUGUCUGGAGCCUUUAAUGGAUGGUAUUGUUUGUUUACACAUACAAUCUCACUAUUUUGUUGCAAUUUCUUACAAAACUUUGCGCACAAAAAGCAAAUCUAGUAUGAAAAUCAUCAAACUUGUAAUGCUCGUAACUCAGUUCAGACUGAGUUUAGAGGUAUACAUGUCAUAGUAAGUUUGGUUUAUUACACUAUUUUGUAAUCAAAAAACAAAAUUUUGGUCGAUGGCCGCGCGAAAAAAAAAGACGCCAAUUUCCGGCAUUGUCUUUUUGUCAGUGUGUGCGUGCGUGCCGCAUACGUGUUGGCGCGCUCACAUACAAACCGCGCCCGUGCGUUUCUAUGAAGAUGACCUACUCAUUUGUAUUUACUCUGCUUCAGAUUUGUCAGCUCUGUCACGUCAUAAAAUGUCAAUGUCACUCCUCCCGUGCCGCUCUCAUACCUCAGGCACUGACUGAGUGCUAGACCUUACUCAUACAAAAUUAUACCUAAAUCCAUUAUUAUCUUUUGUAUUUAAUGAACUAGAAAACACGAGGUUUUAAGUCCAUAAGGACCCCUAGUUAAGAAAUGCUAUAGAACAUUUUUACACAAUUAUAAAAAUAAAAUACAUCCACAAAAAGCUUAUUUAUUUUAAAAUACUAUUAAAACAUCACAGAAAAUGUAAAUUAUGUUACUAUUUUAUUUGUCUGUGGUUAGUUUUUUGACAGCUGUCACUAAAUUGAGCGAAUGAAGGAGUGAUUUGUACGUUCACUCAUUCGUUUUUCGCGCCAGUUCCUAUGAAUUGAGUGAAUGAUAUACAUUUGAUUUGAUAUUUAAAUUGAUUUCGAAAGGGUGGUGGAGUGUAGUAUUAAAAAUUAUGUUUUAGUUAAUUCAUUUAUUUUGGAGUGCCAAAGAUGGUAAAAAUCAACCAUUUUGAAUAUUAAAAAAGAUAAAAGAAAUAAUCAAGUGUUUAAAUCAAAAACCUUUAUGCAAGUUCCUUAGAUUUGCCUUUUAAAAUAUUUUAAUUAUUGGUCUAGCGGAUGAUGACUGGGUAAUGAAAUCGAAAUUCUAUUUAGUCCGUCAGACAGAUAAUUAGAAAAUAUUACUCAUAUUUUUUUUCCAUAAUCGAAUAGUUACAGUAUUAAUUGAGUUGAAAUGUCGCGUGAUGUCACUUUUGAGUAAAAAUUCUACUCAAGCGUGACGUAUCGCGCCAUUUCAACUCGAUGUAGCACUGUUAUUAUUUAAUUAUGAAAGAAAAUAAAAAAUAUGAGUCUGAUAUUUUCUAAUUAUCUGUCUGACGGACAAAUAAUUGAAAUUUUGUCAUCUAGCCUAUUCAGUGCUUGAGGUAUUUGACACCAAACAAUCCAUGUGGGUUUCAUAAUUUUUCACCAGUUGGCACUACUGGAAGGUAAGGUUUUGUCAUUUGCAAGUAGCGCCAACUAGUGAUAAAAAAGAAACAUUCUAUAGAGACAAAAAAACUGAAAAAGUAAUUUUGCCUUUUUGAUGAAGAAGUAAGCUACCUAUUUAUCUUGAUAUAAUAAUUUUAUAUGCAUUUGUUUAAAUCCUAGUAAUAUUAACUCUUAUUGUAAAAAUCUAAAAGCAUUAUAAUGUCAUUAUAAGUUACAAUUAAAUACCUAUCCUCUUCCAACCAAUGUAUAGUGAAAGGGAUGACAAUAUUAUAUCAGUAGCUAAAUUA